Long non-coding RNA from Hyla sarda, 1702 nucleotides. RefSeq lists it as uncharacterized. The transcript is spliced from 4 exons. The record is from RefSeq and is a predicted model, not a curated record. NCBI's taxonomy places the organism in Eukaryota, Metazoa, Chordata, Amphibia, Anura, Hylidae.
CCGAGGCGCGUUCACGAGAGCCCAGCUGUGUCACAAAGACUGAGAAGGGGGGGGGGGGGGUGUGCGCGCCUCACACAAUGGGCGCUGUACUACGCAGGCGCAGAGAUUCUACACAGGUGGUUUGAGUCGGUCUCAGGACAUCAUUCUUCCUUCAUUCUGUAACAACUCCGAGAAUAAGAAAGAAGAAGAGUUUCAUAAAUUGGAUGUAAGAAGAGUAGUCUUGCAUUAUUUGGAGGUUACCGAGUCUUGGAGGAUAUGUCAAGGCCCAAAUAAGGGAGAGACAACGUUUCAGCGAUCUCACACCGCCAUUUCAAGCAGGGAUUUCUUAUAUUGGAUGUGCUGCUCUUUAUUGGUUUAUACUUGUGGUGAACAAGUGUGCACCCCUCACGGACUAUGGAUAUUUCCCAUGACAACCAAAUUGGUUUGUCUUCUUCUAUUACUCAUUCCAUGGAUACUUUCUCUUAUACUGCACUGGACGUGGACAGAAUCAUUGGCAAUUCGACUAAUGAUGCAACAUUUUUGCGCAAUCCAUCUAAUCUGGACUUAAAAAGGAUUUAUGAGGCCGAAACCAAGAAAGCAUUGGGACUCCAACUACAUAUUACUUCAAUGUCUGAAUAUUAUCGCACCCGCAGGAUACCGAGAGGUGUGCCGUAUACAACCUCGGGCAAACUCCCAUAUUAAUGAUCCAGAAUACAGAGGUAAAUACGAGGCAAUCUCGAAUAAAUAUGCAUUGGACAUGAUACUAUUAAAUUUGGAAUUUCUUCAACGUGAUUUAUUAUCCUGUCAAACCAAUAUUGUUGAGUUGGAAAUUACUCUGAAAGAUUCCUUUGAAACAGAGGAAUUGAACAAAUUGAUGGAGAAACAACAAAAUUUUCUGAUAAAACAACGAGAAGCUAUUGAGGAAACUAAGCGAAGGAAGUGGUUUAGAGAUGAUCAGGACUAUGUUAAUGGCAGAGUGUAUGCCUGGGAUAAUGUGGCCAUGUCUGCGAGGAAAUCCAUGAAAAGGGGCAAUAUUGGCUCGGACGUGGAUGGAGGAACCCAUCUGCCAAGACAACCAAGAAACAAUAUGAAAGAACAGUCCAACAAACAACAACCUUUUUUAGAGACACAGUCAUCCCAAGUAGACGGCGGAGGGGCGGUCGGAGGCACUUUCGUGCCCGCAAAAAAGAUACAGCGGAAUACCUGGAAUCAGGGACAAGCCACAGGUGCACAGAAGAAGAAAUAGUGAAUAUGGACAUUUCUACUGUGUUAUUCAAGAUGAUACAUUCCGGUCUUGGAGUCCGCAAGAUUUGGAAACAGAAUUCCCAACUAUGAACCGCAAUUGUCAUUUUUUAUUUUUAUAUUCUAAUUGAGUUCAUAAUGUUUUAUUUUCUUCUAACCAAUACAGUGAUAGCGGUUACUUGUUCUAUCUAUUACUUAUUGAUUUGGUGUCUAGACCCUUGGAUGAGUGGUACUUGGAUGUUGGGAAACCCAUUUAGACACUUCCACCACUAAAAUGGUUCCGACUGGAGUAUAUUCCAAUAGUCCGGCAGGUGAAUUACCAAAUCCGGUAAUUUGGAGUAGCGCACUAAUGGGUCCUAUGGAUCCAAUUAGACGCACCCAGCGGAGUCCAUUAAGGAGGAAUGCUGUGUCUGGGUUCCCGUGUUUGUACUCCUAGUGUGCAUGCAGGGUGACACAACAUUUGAUUUCACUCAAAAAAAAU